This 493-nucleotide ribosomal RNA is filed under the name uncultured bacterium. RNAcentral describes it as "partial 16S ribosomal RNA". It matches the Rfam family "Bacterial small subunit ribosomal RNA", at positions 28 to 507 of the family's 1533-position model. The record is from RNAcentral.
GACGAACGCUGGCGGCGUGCUAACACAUGCAAGUCGAACGGAAAGGCCUGCUUUCCCUUGUGGAUUGCGGGUGCUCGAGUGGCGAACGGGUGAGUAACACGUGAGUGAUCUGCCCCCAACUUGGGUAUAAGCCUGGGAAACUGGGUCUAAUUCCCGAUAGGACUGCAGGGUGGUGCCUGUGGUGGAAAACGAUUUUCUAGUGGUUGGGGAUGAGCUCGCGGCCUAUCAGCUUGUUGGUGGGGUAAUGGCCUACCAAGGCGGCGACGGGUAGCCGGCCUGAGAGGGUGGACGGCCACAUUGGGACUGAGAUACGGCCCAGACUCCUACGGGAGGCAGCAGUGGGGAAUAUUGCACAAUGGGCGGAAGCCUGAUGCAGCGACGCCGCGUGGGGGAUGACGGCCUUCGGGUUGUAAACUCCUUUCGACCGCGAGGAAGCCACCUGGUUGGAAGGGUGGUGACGGUAGUGGUAGAAGAAGCACCGGCUAACUACGUG